This is a long non-coding RNA of Carassius carassius (crucian carp), 362 nucleotides long. RefSeq lists it as uncharacterized. NCBI's taxonomy places the organism in Eukaryota, Metazoa, Chordata, Actinopteri, Cypriniformes, Cyprinidae. The record is from RefSeq and is a predicted model, not a curated record. The transcript has 2 exons.
UUACAGAGCAUUUUGAGAGAACAUAUACAUCUGAGAGACACCUGGAAUAAGGAAUGUUGGUACUAUCCUCAAGAAGAGGAUUAGAAUUGUCAAUACAAUAUUAAUACUCCAGAUAAGCAGCGACGCAUUAUCAGUGUCGUAUUUGCAUUUUGCUUUAAGCUAGUGCAAUAUAUAUUUUUAAAGUAACAAAUAUUUUAUAAUUAACUUCUAACUGCAAUGUAAACAUUAAAAAGUCAAUUAACCAGCUCUCUUAAUGGUUCCUCUCAUCCAGGAAUGUUCCCUUUUAAAUAAACAUCAAAUUGCACAGUUUAGAUGUCCAGCAACAACAAGAGAACCAGUGUAUAUAAUUCAGAAAAGAACAA